Molecule: non-coding RNA, 278 nt
Organism: Pelobates cultripes (western spadefoot toad)
Lineage: Eukaryota; Metazoa; Chordata; Amphibia; Anura; Pelobatidae
Source: the annotation of a GenBank genome assembly
CUCCGUUAUAGUGACAGCUUGGCUAUUUUUUCUUCAUCUUUGUCAUUUCGAUUUUAACUUACUGCAGUCCAAAAUGUAUUGAAUAAACCCCUGACAUGGAUUGUUCUGUCAUCCCCUUGGGUAUUAGUCUAUGAUUUAUUUUGGAGAUCUUCUGCAGGUGUUAAAACCAAUGUCUAUGUCUAAACAGGCUCUGAAGUUGGAUCACACAGUUACAUAGUUACACAGGCUGAAAAGAGACUUGUGUCCAUCAAGUUCAGUUCAGCCUUUAAUUUGGUUAA